RNAcentral lists this small nuclear RNA (102 nucleotides) under Nannospalax galili (Upper Galilee mountains blind mole rat). The record is from RNAcentral. Lineage: Eukaryota; Metazoa; Chordata; Mammalia; Rodentia; Spalacidae.
GUUUUUGCUUCUUCAACUCCUAUACUCAUUCUGGAAUAAUACAGAGAUUAGCAUGACAUCUGUGCAAGGAUGACACACACAAAAUAAGCCAGGCAUGUAAUC